GAGUCUAGCGGCUUCCGAGGCGGCAGGGUCGAAGAGGAGGUGAUCUCGAGUUAGAUAGGUUAGAGAGAGAGAGAGAGAGAGAGAGAGAGAGAGAGAGAGCGUGUGUGUGUGAUGCAGGAUUCGUAAAAUAAUGGAUUAAGAGGUUAAACGUAAUUGGGACAAAUCCUCAUCUAAUGCAAUAUGAUGCUAGCACAGCAGAAAUUGUAUUCGAAAUUCAACAAAUUAAAUAAUUUUAAGAUGAUCCUAGAGAGUGAAGCAAUGCAAGGCAGACGUUGAAAUUAAAUACGAGUUUGAGAUGUUCGGAU
This 305-nucleotide long non-coding RNA is filed under the name Ananas comosus (pineapple). RNAcentral's name for it is "long non-coding RNA (ACOM_LNC009911)". Lineage: Eukaryota; Viridiplantae; Streptophyta; Magnoliopsida; Poales; Bromeliaceae. The record is from RNAcentral.